GAUUAAGUUAUUAAGGGCGCACGGUGGAUGCCUUGGCACUAGAAGCCGAUGAAGGACGUUACUAACGACGAUAUGCUUUGGGGAGCUGUAAGUAAGCUUUGAUCCAGAGAUUUCCGAAUGGGGAAACCCAGCAUGAGUUAUGUCAUGUUAUCGAUAUGUGAAUACAUAGCAUAUCAGAAGGCACACCCGGAGAACUGAAACAUCUUAGUACCCGGAGGAAGAGAAAGAAAAUUCGAUUCCCUUAGUAGCGGCGAGCGAAACGGGAAGAGCCCAAACCAACAAGCUUGCUUGUUGGGGUUGUAGGACACUCUAUACGGAGUUACAAAGGACGACAUUAGACGAAUCAUCUGGAAAGAUGAAUCAAAGAAGGUAAUAAUCCUGUAGUCGAAAAUGUUGUCUCUCUUGAGUGGAUCCUGAGUACGACGGAGCACGUGAAAUUCCGUCGGAAUCUGGGAGGACCAUCUCCUAAGGCUAAAUACUCUCUAGUGACCGAUAGUGAACCAGUACCGUGAGGGAAAGGUGAAAAGCACCCCGGAAGGGGAGUGAAAUAGAACCUGAAACCGUGUGCUUACAAGUAGUCAGAGCCCGUUAAUGGGUGAUGGCGUGCCUUUUGUAGAAUGAACCGGCGAGUUACGAUUUGAUGCAAGGUUAAGCAGUAAAUGUGGAGCCGUAGCGAAAGCGAGUCUGAAUAGGGCGUUUAGUAUUUGGUCGUAGACCCGAAACCAGGUGAUCUACCCUUGGUCAGGUUGAAGUUCAGGUAACACUGAAUGGAGGACCGAACCGACUUACGUUGAAAAGUGAGCGGAUGAACUGAGGGUAGCGGAGAAAUUCCAAUCGAACCUGGAGAUAGCUGGUUCUCUCCGAAAUAGCUUUAGGGCUAGCCUCAAGUGAUGAUUAUUGGAGGUAGA
This 908-nucleotide ribosomal RNA is filed under the name Staphylococcus aureus. Its description in RNAcentral is "partial 23S ribosomal RNA". It matches the Rfam family "Bacterial large subunit ribosomal RNA", at positions 1 to 906 of the family's 2925-position model. The record is from RNAcentral. Lineage: Bacteria; Bacillati; Bacillota; Bacilli; Caryophanales; Staphylococcaceae.